GGGUAUUUAUAGGUGAGGAGCGCAUCAAAAUCAGGCCCAAGUCUAGCGUGCUACCACCGAGCGGUUUAAGUGUGCCGCCCGGCGGUUUGCCACAAUCUGCCGCCACCGCCCGGUGGUUUCCCAUGCCAGCGCCCGGCGGCAAUCGCCAGCGCCCGGCAGUUUCUCUCAACGUGAAAUGUUGCCUACUCCUCGUUCUGGACCGCCCGACGGUUUAAGUGUGCCGCUGGGCAGUACGUCGACUCUUCAAAACUCAACUUUUCUGAAAACUAAGACUCACA
RNAcentral lists this long non-coding RNA (278 nucleotides) under Vigna radiata. RNAcentral describes it as "long non-coding RNA (VRAD_LNC014612)". The record is from RNAcentral. Lineage: Eukaryota; Viridiplantae; Streptophyta; Magnoliopsida; Fabales; Fabaceae.